This 2523-nucleotide long non-coding RNA is filed under the name Homo sapiens (human). RNAcentral's name for it is "non-protein coding SOX1-OT:24". Lineage: Eukaryota; Metazoa; Chordata; Mammalia; Primates; Hominidae. The record is from RNAcentral.
AUUGAAAGUGGCGCCAUCUAGACCCAGGAAAAAGCUACGGGGUGGGCGGGGUAAGCGGGGGACUCUUGGUAAAUGUGGAUAAUUUUGAACUGGGACACCAUUUUGUUUCCUUCCUAGAGCAUUGUAUGAUGUGGCCUGAAGGCUCUGGAAAGUCACAGAUCACACCCAGCAGGAGGUUCUUCAUGUGUGCCAGCCCCUGGCUGGGCCUGGGCAGCCUUGCCCCCAUCCUCUGGCCCCAGCUCCUGCCACCCCACCUGCAGACAAGGCUGCCAAAGGCUAGGGACAGGGCUCCAAGCUAGAGGCCGGCUUUUUGGAGAUGUGGCUGUGGGAGGGGAAUCCCAGGAAGUUGCAUAGAGAGGGAGUUUUUGCCAGCCUGGGUCACUGAUGGCCAGUCCGGGUCACUGAUGUCUCCCCAGGGGCAAGGGGACAGUGCCUGGCUAAUUGUGGGUUUCAAAAUCUGUCUGUUGAGGGGAUGCAGAGGUCAUCAUUGGGGGGUGAAGCUGAUGGUCCACAGAAGCUCUGGGCACAGGUUGGACCUCUUUCCUGCACAAAGAACCCUCCAGGGUGCCCAGUGGUUCUGGCCAGCGCCGGAGCCAGUGACGGUUGGCUUGUUCUGGCCUUCCUCCCCUUCUCACACAUGCAUUCUCUUGCACACGUGUCACACACAUUCCUACACACUCACACAAAUUCUCACACAAAUUCCCAGAAUCAAUCUCCCACAUACACAUCCAAGUCACACACUCAUUCUUACAUGCGAUUCACAGAUUCACACGAUUCACAGAUGCAACAGACUCACAGGCAUUCACUCUUACAUAUGACACAGUUGCACACUUGCACACACACACACACACACACACGCACUGCAAUCCCCUUGCAUCUCCACAGUGUCGAAGGCUGGCUGAACACCAAGGUGGCUCUUGGUGGCAGGACUUCUCAUGGGAGGGAAAGUCACAUAGCUGGAAGGUUACUAGCUUAGGGACAUAAUUUCCUUAUUGACUAUAAUCUCCUUAUAGAAAUUCAACAACUAUAGCAGAAAAUGGAGAAUGAGGACAUUUUAUUUCUCAAAGUCAACAGUUCCUUUUCUCCUGCACCUUCGGAGCAGGCUCCUGCCUGAGGCUGCUGAGGUGCUCUGGGUUCUCGCUGUUUGUUUUCAGCAUCCAGGUUCAGGCUUUUCUCAGUGCAUUUUCCUCGGCUGCCCUUGGACUUGUGUUGUCCGGGGUGGUGGCCACUGGCCCCCAGUGGCUACUGAGCAGGGAGAGCAGGGCCCCUCUGUGGUGAGGCGUGCUGCUCAGUGUAAAACACACACGAGAUUUUCCAGAUGCAGUACUCAAAAGCAUGUGAAACUCCUCAGUCAUCACUUAAAAUAUUGAUCACAGGUUGAAAUGAUUAUAUUUUAGAUACCUUAGGUUAAGUAAAAUAUAUUAUUGAAAUUUCACCUUCUUUUUGCUUUCUAAAAAUGUAGCUCUUAGGAACUUUGCAAUUACCUACAUGGCUAUUUGUGUGUUAUCUUCCUGCUGGGCAGUGUGAGACCUUCUCACAGAUCCUUCAGAAAUGUCAAAGGAAAAGCAAAAAUGGUGGAGAAGGCUGAGCACGUGGCCUCGCGGGAGGCCGGCUCAGAGCUGUUCUGAAGUUGCUUUUGUAACACAAUCUAUUCUCAAAGCUCCUUUUCUUUCAAUGGGGCAGGUUGGGGGUGGGGGGGGGGGGGAUAUUACACCUUGUAUUUUACUUCUCGAUUCAUUUUCUUUCCAUUUUAACUUUAAUUCCGUCUAAUUACUGUAUUGUGAGCUCAGUCAGCAAUCUUGCAUGAACUCUGCAGUAACUUCUGAAGACUCUUGCUCCAAGUGUUUGAUAAUGAGGAGAUGUGCAGGACUAAGGCGACUGUGUGAUGUCUGCACAGUUCGAAAGCCCGCUUUCCUGUUACUUUCAAAUCUCGGGUCAGCAUUUUGGAACUUUUCUGCUUUAAUUUUUCCACACACACCUCUCACUGCGACCACCUACCAUCACCACAACCCAAAACAAAGCAAACAAACAGAAAGCUUGAACAAGAAUUUACAUCUGGGAAAACGCUUCUACUCAUCAAGAGUGGAAUUCCUUUUUAUUCCUAUAAUUGACUCACAGCUUCAAAAAUCUGUGAAGUCAUACUUUGGUCACGGAAGUUGCAAGAAACCAUAUUUGCAAACGUUUUAUUUUAAAGAAGGUAUUUAAAAAUAUUUCACAUAUUAGCCACAGAUUUCUAGAAGUGAAGUUAUAAAAAUUAGAAAUUAUAUUUUGCCUUUUGAUGAUAGCAAGUGAAAAGAGAUUGCUCCAAGCAUGUUUUCAAUAAAUUCAGUAUAACUGCAACACAAAAAUUCUGCAUGCAGGCUUCAUACACACACGUUAUAAUUUUAUGCAUUUAUCUUGAGAGUUGUAUAAUUAAUUUUAAAAAUGCAACAGAAAUGUGAAGUUAAGUCUACUUUGCCAAUAAUGGAAAUGUCUCAUAGAUAAUUUUGAAUACAAUUAAAAUUUUGUUUUUAUCAUAAAAGG